RNAcentral lists this transfer-messenger RNA (388 nucleotides) under Nitrospirota bacterium. It matches the Rfam family "transfer-messenger RNA". From Rfam's summary of the family: Bacterial tmRNA, also known as 10Sa RNA or SsrA, is named for its dual tRNA and mRNA-like properties. Its role is to liberate the mRNA from a stalled ribosome. To accomplish this part of the tmRNA is used as a reading frame that ends in a translation stop signal. The record is from RNAcentral. Lineage: Bacteria; Pseudomonadati; Nitrospirota.
GGGGGCGACAGGCUUCGACGGGGAUGAUGAAACCGGGGUUGCGUGCCGAGGUCUCCGGUUGGCCUCGUAAAACUACCGGAAACAAAUCAAGUGCCAACGAGUCUGAAUUCGCACUGGCUGCCUAAGUAAUUAGGCAGACGGCUCACCGAUAGCUACGGCUAUCGGCGUUCCCCCUGGAGAUGCCCGGGCUUCAGGAUGGAAUGUAACUUUACCGGGCUGGUCAUGAACGCGGGCGCCUUGCGGAUGUGACGAGAACUUAGGACGCUGGUUCCGCAGUUGGCCUGUCCAUGGGCUUGCGGCGGAACGAGACUUUAAGCAUGGACUAUGCACGUAGACGCCUCGGCAGAUGCGUUUCCGGACCCGGGUUCGAUUCCCGGCGCCUCCACCA